GACGAACGCUGGCGGCGUGCCUAAUACAUGCAAGUUGAGCGCUGAAGGUUGGUACUUGUACCAACUGGAUGAGCAGCGAACGGGUGAGUACCGCGUGGGGAAUCUGCCUUUGAGCGGGGGACAACAUUUGGAAACGAAUGCUAAUACCGCAUAAAAACUUUAAACACAAGUUUUAAGUUUGAAAGAUGCAAUUGCAUCACUCAAAGAUGAUCCCGCGUUGUAUUAGCUAGUUGGUGAGGUAAAGGCUCACCAAGGCGAUGAUACAUAGCCGACCUGAGAGGGUGAUCGGCCACAUUGGGACUGUGACACGGCCCAAACUCCUACGGGAGGCAGCAGUAGGGAAUCUUCGGCAAUGGACGAAAGUCUGACCGAGCAACGCCGCGUGAGUGAAGAAGGGUUUCGGAUCGUAAAACUCUGUUGGUAGAGAAGAACGUUGGUGAGAGUGGAAAGCUCAUCAAGUGACGGUAACUACCCAGAAAGGGACGGCUAACUACGUG
This 497-nucleotide ribosomal RNA is filed under the name uncultured bacterium. RNAcentral describes it as "partial 16S ribosomal RNA". It matches the Rfam family "Bacterial small subunit ribosomal RNA", at positions 28 to 507 of the family's 1533-position model. The record is from RNAcentral.